This is a small nuclear RNA of Oryctolagus cuniculus (rabbit), 144 nucleotides long. Its record names the gene U4. It matches the Rfam family "U4 spliceosomal RNA". Rfam says of the family: U4 small nuclear RNA (U4 snRNA) is a component of the major U2-dependent spliceosome. The structure of U4 snRNA from yeast and human has been reported. U4 snRNA presents a k-turn RNA motif in the 5p-SL related to recognition of Snu13 protein. The record is from Ensembl. Lineage: Eukaryota; Metazoa; Chordata; Mammalia; Lagomorpha; Leporidae.
AGCUUUGUGCAGUGGCAGUAUCUUAGCCAAUGAGGUUUACCCAAAGCAUGAUUAUUGCUAAUUGAAAACUUAAUUGUGAACACCAACUUUGGAGCUCAAUAUACUGCAUUCAAAGAUAGUGAUUAUGGGUAAUUUCUUUUGGAG